Molecule: non-coding RNA, 72 nt
Organism: Emiliania huxleyi CCMP1516
Lineage: Eukaryota; Haptophyta; Isochrysidales; Noelaerhabdaceae
Source: Rfam
GAUUGCAUAGUCUAGUGGUCAGGACUCCUCGUCGUGGCCGAGGCGACCCGGGCUCGAUUCCCGGUGCGAUCA